CUUCUUUUAGAGGCAACACAGCAUAGUGGUUAAGACUUCUGAGCCAGACUUCCUGUUCAGGGACAAAUUGGGUGUCCUGUUUUACAACCAAGGAACUCAGACCCACUGAGGCAUUAAGAGGACCCUGAAGCAGAACAAGCAACUAAGCUGUGUUGCUUAUUCACAGUUACCAAGUUCUUUUUGAAGAGAUUAGGACACAGACACACACGGGGAAGACCUUGUGAAGACGCAGGGAGGAGAUGCUCAUCUGCAAGCCAAGGAGAGAGGCCUCAGAAGAAACCAACCCUACCGACACCUGGGUCUUGGAUUUCUAGCCUCCAGGACUGUGAGAACACAAAUUUCUGUG
Kogia breviceps (pygmy sperm whale) is the source of this 346-nucleotide non-coding RNA. The record is from RefSeq and is a predicted model, not a curated record. NCBI's taxonomy places the organism in Eukaryota, Metazoa, Chordata, Mammalia, Artiodactyla, Physeteridae.